UACUGAAAUCAUGACACUAUU
RNAcentral lists this non-coding RNA (21 nucleotides) under Caenorhabditis elegans. Lineage: Eukaryota; Metazoa; Nematoda; Chromadorea; Rhabditida; Rhabditidae. The record is from RNAcentral.